This 309-nucleotide ribosomal RNA is filed under the name uncultured eukaryote. RNAcentral's name for it is "partial 18S ribosomal RNA". It matches the Rfam family "Eukaryotic small subunit ribosomal RNA", at positions 1470 to 1796 of the family's 1831-position model. The record is from RNAcentral.
CCCUUAGAUGUUCUGGGCGGCCCGCGCACUACAUUGGCACUGUCAGCAAGGGUCUGAAACUAAAACUUUUGGGUAUUCUGAGAACCGGUGUCGUGACUGGGAUUGACCCUUGCAAUUAUUGGUUAUGAACGAGGAAUUCCUUGUAAUCGCGGUUUAUCAGCCCGCGUUGAAUGCGUCUCUGCCCUUUGUACACACCGCCCGUCGCUCCUACCGAUGAAUCGUCCGGUGAAGUUCAUGGAGUAGUGGUUGUUCCAUCCGCUGUCGAAGUGAAAUAAACCUCAUGAUUUAGAGGAAGGAGAAGUCGUAACA